CCUACGGGAGGCAGCAGUAGGGAAUCUUCCACAAUGGGCGAAAGCCUGAUGGAGCAACGCCGCGUGGGUGAAGAAGGUCUUCGGAUCGUAAAACCCUGUUGUUAGAGAAGAAAGUGCGUGAGAGUAACUGUUCACGUUUCGACGGUAUCUAACCAGAAAGCCACGGCUAACUACGUGCCAGCAGCCGCGGUAAUACGUAGGUGGCAAGCGUUAUCCGGAUUUAUUGGGCGUAAAGGGAACGCAGGCGGUCUUUUAAGUCUGAUGUGAAAGCCUUCGGCUUAACCGGAGUAGUGCAUUGGAAACUGGGAGACUUGAGUGCGGAAGAGGAGAGUGGAACUCCAUGUGUAGCGGUGAAAUGCGUAGAUAUAAGGAAGAACACCAGUGGCGAAAGCGGCUCACUGGUCUGUAACUGACGCUGAGGUUCGAAAGCGUGGGUAGCAAACAGGAUUAGAUACCCCUGUAGUC
RNAcentral lists this ribosomal RNA (465 nucleotides) under uncultured bacterium. RNAcentral's name for it is "partial 16S ribosomal RNA". It matches the Rfam family "Bacterial small subunit ribosomal RNA", at positions 338 to 795 of the family's 1533-position model. The record is from RNAcentral.